RNAcentral lists this ribosomal RNA (507 nucleotides) under uncultured Glomus. Its description in RNAcentral is "SSU rRNA". It matches the Rfam family "Eukaryotic small subunit ribosomal RNA", at positions 569 to 1079 of the family's 1831-position model. Lineage: Eukaryota; Fungi; Glomeromycota; Glomeromycetes; Glomerales; Glomeraceae. The record is from RNAcentral.
AGCAGCCGCGGUAAUUCCAGCUCCAAUAGCGUAUAUUAAAGUUGUUGCAGUUAAAAAGCUCGUAGUUGAAUUUCGGGAUCAAUUUAUUGGUCGUGCUAUUGUACGUACUGGUAUUAUUGAUUCCUACCUUCUGACGAACCAUGAUGUCAUUAAUUUGGUGUCUUGGGGAAUCAGGACUGUUACUUUGAAAAAAUUAGAGUGUUUAAAGCAGGCUCACGCUUGAAUACAUUAGCAUGGAAUAACGAAAUAGGACGUUUGAUUCUAUUUUGUUGGUUUCUAGGAUCGACGUAAUGAUUAAUAGGGAUAGUUGGGGGCAUUAGUAUUCAAUUGUCAGAGGUGAAAUUCUUGGAUUUAUUGAAGACUAACUACUGCGAAAGCAUUUGCCAAGGAUGUUUUCAUUAAUCAAGAACGAAAGUUAGGGGAUCGAAGACGAUCAGAUACCGUCGUAGUCUUAACCAUAAACUAUGCCGACUAGGGAUCGGAUGAUGUUAAUUUUUAAUGACUCAU